CCUACGGGCGGCAGCAGUGGGGAAUAUUGGAUAAUGGGCGAAAGCCUGAUCCAGCCAUGCCGCGUGUGUGAAGAAGGCCUUCGGGUUGUAAAGCACUUUCAGUGGGGAAGAAAGCCUUGGGGCUAAUACCCUCGAGGAAGGACAUCACCCACAGAAGAAGCACCGGCUAACUCCGUGCCAGCAGCCGCGGUAAUACGGAGGGUGCGAGCGUUAAUCGGAAUUACUGGGCGUAAAGCGCGCGUAGGCGGUCUGAUAAGCCGGUUGUGAAAGCCCCGGGCUCAACCUGGGAACGGCAUCCGGAACUGUCAGGCUAGAGUGCAGGAGAGGAAGGUAGAAUUCCCGGUGUAGCGGUGAAAUGCGUAGAGAUCGGGAGGAAUACCAGUGGCGAAGGCGGCCUUCUGGACUGACACUGACGCUGAGGUGCGAAAGCGUGGGUAGCAAACAGGAUUAGUACCCGGGUAGUC
RNAcentral lists this ribosomal RNA (464 nucleotides) under Vreelandella stevensii. RNAcentral's name for it is "partial 16S ribosomal RNA". It matches the Rfam family "Bacterial small subunit ribosomal RNA", at positions 338 to 795 of the family's 1533-position model. Lineage: Bacteria; Pseudomonadati; Pseudomonadota; Gammaproteobacteria; Oceanospirillales; Halomonadaceae. The record is from RNAcentral.